This 520-nucleotide ribosomal RNA is filed under the name uncultured Archaeospora. RNAcentral's name for it is "SSU rRNA". It matches the Rfam family "Eukaryotic small subunit ribosomal RNA", at positions 569 to 1092 of the family's 1831-position model. The record is from RNAcentral. Lineage: Eukaryota; Fungi; Glomeromycota; Glomeromycetes; Archaeosporales; Archaeosporaceae.
AGCAGCCGCGGUAAUUCCAGCUCCAAUAGCGUAUAUUAAAGUUGUUGCAGUUAAAAAGCUCGUAGUUGAAUUUUGGAUUCUUCCAAUUGGUCCAUCUUUUAGAUGAGUACUGGUUGUGUGGGGUCUAUCCGCCUGGUGAUACGUAAUGUCCUUUAUUGGAUGUUGCGGGUAGUCAGGACCUUUACCUUGAAAAAUUAGAGUGUUUAAAGCAGGCUUAUGCCGGAAUACAUUAGCAUGGAGUAAUAGAAUAGGACGAAGUUGUUUUAUUUUGUUGGUUUCUAGGACAACCGUAAUGAUUAAUAGGGAUAGUUGGGGGCAUUAGUAUUCAAUUGUCAGAGGUGAAAUUCUUGGAUUUAUUGAAGACUAACUACUGCGAAAGCAUUUGCCAAGGAUGUUUUCAUUAAUCAAGAACGAAAGUUAGGGGAUCGAAGACGAUCAGAUACCGUCGUAGUCUUAACCAUAAACUAUGCCGACUAGGGAUCGGGCGAUGUUGUUUCCAUGACUCGCUCGGCACCUUAUG